Molecule: ribosomal RNA, 997 nt
Filed under: human gut metagenome
Description: bacterial LSU rRNA
Rfam family: Bacterial large subunit ribosomal RNA
Source: RNAcentral
CCGUAACUAUAACGGUCCUAAGGUAGCGAAAUUCCUUGUCGGGUAAGUUCCGACCUGCACGAAUGGCGUAAUGAUGGCCAGGCUGUCUCCACCCGAGACUCAGUGAAAUUGAACUCGCUGUGAAGAUGCAGUGUACCCGCGGCAAGACGGAAAGACCCCGUGAACCUUUACUAUAGCUUGACACUGAACAUUGAGCCUUGAUGUGUAGGAUAGGUGGGAGGCUUUGAAGUGUGGACGCCAGUCUGCGUGGAGCCAACCUUGAAAUACCACCCUUUAAUGUUUGAUGUUCUAACGUAGACCCGUGAUCCGGGUUGCGGACAGUGUCUGGUGGGUAGUUUGACUGGGGCGGUCUCCUCCCAAAGAGUAACGGAGGAGCACGAAGGUUAGCUAAUCCUGGUCGGACAUCAGGAGGUUAGUGCAAUGGCAUAAGCUAGCUUGACUGCGAGCGUGACGGCGCGAGCAGGUGCGAAAGCAGGUCAUAGUGAUCCGGUGGUUCUGAAUGGAAGGGCCAUCGCUCAACGGAUAAAAGGUACUCCGGGGAUAACAGGCUGAUACCGCCCAAGAGUUCAUAUCGACGGCGGUGUUUGGCACCUCGAUGUCGGCUCAUCACAUCCUGGGGCUGAAGUAGGUCCCAAGGGUAUGGCUGUUCGCCAUUUAAAGUGGUACGCGAGCUGGGUUUAGAACGUCGUGAGACAGUUCGGUCCCUAUCUGCCGUGGGCGCUGGAGAAUUGAGGGGGGCUGCUCCUAGUACGAGAGGACCGGAGUGGACGCAUCACUGGUGUUCGGGUUGUCAUGCCAAUGGCAUUGCCCGGUAGCUAAAUGCGGAAAAGAUAAGUGCUGAAAGCAUCUAAGCACGAAACUUGCCCCGAGAUGAGUUCUCCCUGACUCCUUGAGAGUCCUGAAGGAACGUUGAAGACGACGACGUUGAUAGGUCGGGUGUGUAAGCGUAGCGAUACGUUGAGCUAACCGAUACUAAUGAACCGUGAGGCUUAACCUU